GAUGAACGCUGACAGAAUGCUUAACACAUGCAAGUCAACUUGAAUUUGGGUUUUUAACUUAGAUUUGGGUGGCGGACGGGUGAGUAACGCGUAAAGAACUUGCCUCACAGCUAGGGACAACAUUUAGAAAUGAAUGCUAAUACCUGAUAUUAUGAUUUUAAGGCAUCUUAGAAUUAUGAAAGCUAUAAGCACUGUGAGAGAGCUUUGCGUCCCAUUAGCUAGUUGGAGAGGUAACAGCUCACCAAGGCGAUGAUGGGUAGCCGGCCUGAGAGGGUGAACGGCCACAAGGGGACUGAGACACGGCCCUUACUCCUACGGGAGGCAGCAGUGGGGAAUAUUGGACAAUGGACCGAGAGUCUGAUCCAGCAAUUCUGUGUGCACGAUGAAGUUUUUCGGAAUGUAAAGUGCUUUCAGUUGGGAAGAAAAAAAUGACGGUACCAACAGAAGAAGUGACGGCUAAAUACGUGCCAGCAGCCGCGGUAAUACGUACGUCACGAGCGUUAUCCGGAUUUAUUGGGCGUAAAGCGCGUCUAGGUGGUUAUGUAAGUCUGAUGUGAAAAUGCAGGGCUCAACUCUGUAUUGCGUUGGAAACUGUAUAACUAGAGUACUGGAGAGGUAAGCGGAACUACAAGUGUAGAGGUGAAAUUCGUAGAUAUUUGUAGGAAUGCCGAUGGGG
Molecule: ribosomal RNA, 676 nt
Filed under: uncultured Fusobacteriota bacterium
Lineage: Bacteria; Fusobacteriati; Fusobacteriota
Description: bacterial SSU rRNA
Rfam family: Bacterial small subunit ribosomal RNA
Source: RNAcentral